AUAAAAACUUUGUAUUCCAUUACAAUAGAAGAUAUCGCAAUUAUAGUAGCACUGAUCAUAUGGGUAGAGGAUCCAGCUAAACCUGCACUAAUAACGGAAACAAAUUUCUCAACUCUCUCGGGCUUUGAGUUGCCAAAUUCAACCGAAUUUACGGCUGACUUAGCAAUGUUGAAUAAAAGUUGAAAGGCGGUAUGACGAGCCUUUUCGUUAACUUCUUUAAGCGAUAUUAUUGCUUCGGGAAGUAACUGUGGAAUCGCAAUAACUAAUUCGCUGGACUGAAGCUCGUA
Molecule: non-coding RNA, 287 nt
Organism: Schizosaccharomyces pombe (fission yeast)
Lineage: Eukaryota; Fungi; Ascomycota; Schizosaccharomycetes; Schizosaccharomycetales; Schizosaccharomycetaceae
Source: the annotation of a GenBank genome assembly